AUGUCACUUGUCAGUUGUCAGCUGAGGUUGUCAGUCACAAAAUAUAAAAACGUAAAUAAAAAAGGUAAAUAUUUACCGUAACUUUUCCUACGUUCAACUUUGACAUUAGCAAAAUCAUCGCCUGCCAGCGAUGUAGCCACAAUUUAAAAAUUGAAUUGAAAAAGAUUUUGAAGUGAAUUUGCAAAUACAAAAUGACCUCAAGUCGGCCCUAUGUUACUGGACACAAGCCAGAUGGAAGAGUUGUGGACCCAUCCAUUACAGAAGCACAAACAAGAUCUGACGAGACAAUAGACUUGAUAUCUAGAUAUGACCACUUAUAUGAUGAACUCAUCAUAAAGAGAAAAUACUUCAAAAAGUUGCAAAAAAUUUACAAACUAUAUGGGGAUAAAAUAUUCCAUAACACUUGAAAUGAAAUGAUAUUACAUGAAAAUAUUGAUAUUAUAAAAAAUUCGACUCCUAUGUUAACUUCUCAAUAACUUAUGGUUGAUGUUAUUCAGGAAAAUGGGGAAGACAUUCUAAUAGUUAAAAGAGAUAAUCCAAGGGCCCCUGUGGUAAAGCUCCUUUCAGCAGAAGAGUGUUUUUCAGUCAUUCCCAAAGCACAUAAAGAGAGUAAUCAUGGCAAUGCAGAAGUAAUCAGGAAUCUUACUGAACAUCAGUACAGAUACCCACAGUUUUGUAUACCUUUAGUAUUACAAUCUUGUAAUGUAUGUAAGGAAGUUUCAAAGUCAUAUAACGUUAUGGUAUGUAAAGAAAUGGAAACUGACAAAUCCAUAUGGAAAUUAGCAAUACACAGAAUGGAAACAAAUAAAAUUGGUAAAUAUUUAUAUUUUUUUGUCUAUGUGGAAGUUGUUACAACAUACAUAAUAAUUAGACCGCUUACAAAACUGGUUGUUGAAGAAUUGGGUAUGGAAUUAAUGAAAAUAUUCACUACAUUUGGACCACCAAAGAAAAUAUUGACAGCCAGAGACUACGAGCAUUUAGUUAAGAGAACUUUAAAUAUGAUGGGUGCCAUGGAUGAGAGGUACACGGCACUUGUAGAAAGGUGUCAGGACUACAUAUUCGAUAUUGCCUCUGUAUUAGUGGCAAUGAAAAAAUGGUUCAAACAAAGUGGCUCCAAUGACUGGGUCACAGCUUGUAGCUUAGUGCAAUGGCAGCUGAACACAUCCGUUAGACUGAUAUCUCAGAAUGAUGGAUAUUCCAUACAAUCUGUUUUUUGAGAGCAAAGCUAACUCAUUUAAUCUCAUUAGUGGUGAUGUAGUUGCUGAGAAACUUAAUCCAAAAUCUCGUAAUCUGGUCACAUUAGAAAUAGGAUUGAGUAAAUCUAAAGUGACUAAUCAUAUACUUGAUUUGAGUUCUGAUGAAAAUGGUGAUGAGUCUUCAGCAUGUGGUGUAUGUAAGGAAGAGUUUGCAUUGUACAAUUGUUUGACCUGUGCUAAGCCUGUUCAUUAUAAGUGUGGAUGCAAGAUUCCACAAGACGUUAAUGCACAUGUCAAAAAAGGCUCGAGAAUUGUGUGUAAAUCUUGUUGAUUUAUAUUACAAUAAAGCAUAAGUACAUCUACUUUG
Molecule: long non-coding RNA, 1563 nt
Filed under: Manduca sexta (tobacco hornworm)
Lineage: Eukaryota; Metazoa; Arthropoda; Insecta; Lepidoptera; Sphingidae
Description: uncharacterized LOC115452140
Source: RNAcentral